GCCAUGAAUGUAGCUGAAGUAAGCACUGUAGAGUGCGUAGAGUUUGGUUGGACAUCUAAGACACUAAAGUCAUUUAGGUUCAGUGUCAAUCAUCUAGGUUCAGUGUCAGUCAUCCAGACUUUAGUCUUGCCACAGGAUUUAGAUGACUCUGGAAGAAAGAGUGAGGCUGACAAUUUUGUGCAACUCACUUAAAUCCAAUUCAUACACAAGUUAAAAUAUUACUCUGUGAUGUCACUGGUACUUUUCAGACAUAAGGAUCACCACCACCGCUGCCAACUGAUUAAUCAACAUUUUUGACUGUCUCAUCCUUUUAAGUCUUCUUAAAUCUAGCUUUAUUUGUUUUUAACUGCCCUAGCAGCGGGACUAGUAUUUUCUUGGUAGUUAUCCUAGAUCAUCAGUCUUAGAAGGAACCUCAAAGACCACCCACUUUAAUCCCUUCAUUUUGUAGGUGUGAAAAAUGAGGCACAGAGAAGAUAUUCAGAUAGUUACCUUCCCAGCGGUGACUUCAUGGCUUCUGGCUCUAAAAGCAAUACCAUAGAGACCCCAAUAAAAAAAGAAAAAGAAGAAGAAGAAAUAGUAGUGGAGGAAGAGAUUAUUAGCACUGGAAAACCUACAGAGGGAAAGACUAAAAAGAGAUUUUCCUGGUUCCACAAUAUCAAAGAAUGCAAGCUGUGGAACUUCUUUCAUUUUAAAAAACAUGACAAACAAGUAAAGAAUGUGCACAAGUGGGAAGAAAUUGAUCAAGAGGUAUUGGAAGAUUACUGUCCUUAUUCUACUGAAGCCCCUAAAACAUUGCCAACAGAGUGGACAAAUAUUGAAGUUGGUAAUUGGUUAUGGAGCAUUGGAAUGGAGGAGUAUGUUGUAAAAUUUUAUUGUAAAGGAAUAAGUGGUGAAAAACUCCUUACACUGGACAAUCACUCGCUAAAAGUAAGUUCAAGAAUUGACUUUUUUUUUACAAUACAUUAGACAACAUAUAUAUAUAUAUAUAAUCACUAAUUUUAUGGAGAGAGUAUAUAAAACAUAAUACAAAAAUGGGAAAUCCUAUGUAUGAUCUAUUUGCCAAUCUUAUGGUUUUAAGGAAAUCAUGUUAACCUCCUUUUGAAUGUAGUAUCAAGGGAGAUUUCUUUUUGAUAGUGAUUUGUUAAAUUCCCCCCUCCCCUUUUUAGUAUUGCUAACAUGUGGUCAUUUCUUUUUAUUUAUAUUUAUUUAUUUAUUUUUAAAAACCUACCAUUCCUUUUUGGAAUCAAUCCCCAUGUAUUAAUUCCAAGGAAGAAGAGGAGUAGGAUCUGGGCAAGGAGUGGGUAGUGAGUGACUUGCCGAGGGUCACACUGUUAGCAAGAGUAUCAAGAGUAUGUGAGGGGGGCACUGGGUAGCUCAGUGGAUUGAAAGCCAGGCCAGUAGAUGGGAGAUCCUGGGUUCAAAUUUGACAUCAGACAUUUCCCAGCUGUGUGUGACAAGGAAAUCACUUUAAAAGACUGAUAUAUAUUAACUUAAGGUCGCCAAGGAAUUCAGCUAUGUAAUUCCUAAAUGAAAACUCAAGUCAGCAGUCAACCUUUUAUGGAGUUUAAUUACAAACAGGAGGAAGAAAGAUAUUAGAGAUAGAGAGAGAGAGGGAGAGAGAAAGGGGAGAGAAGGGAAUAGGGCUUAAAUACCUCUUCUGUUUAGGCUGGGCUAAAAGGCCCAAGCCCUUAGAUAGCUGAGGCAAAGAAAAGAGAUCAGUCCCUAACACUCACGUGGCCAAAAUGGAGAAACAGUCUCAGGGGCCUCCACCUCCAGCUUCCUUCAGAGCAAGCUUCUCAGAGCACCACCUCUCAGAGCAAAACCUCUCCAACCAACCCCGCCUAGUCCUCAGACCCCGCUGUCUUUAAGGAAACCAUCCAAGUUCCCUCCCCUCAGUUCUCACAUCUACCAAUCACUGUCCAUGUCUUCCCUGUGCCAAUGGUGGCUCUAGCUUAACCCAGGACCGCCCAGAGGUCUGUGGCUUUGCACAUGUCUGUCUGUUGAAGGUCAUAUUCUCAAAUAAUUAAAUCUUGAUCCUUUGCUGCAGCCCUUCGUAAAUCCUGUUAGGACUGAGUAGGGUGGAGAUUUUAAGUUCCAAGACCUGGUUCUGUCAUUCCAAGUAUGGUCUCCCGGCCUGCGAGAGGCUGUAAAGGUGAGAAAAAGAGAGGAUAGAGAUAGAGUAGAAGUAUUGAUCCCGCGAAGGGCGUGAACGAGCCGACUUUAGAGAUGUGAAUAACCGAGUCAGUAGACAAAUAUUAUUUGUAUGAGCCACAGCUAAGCUCCGACCACUGAGUGUAAUUAUUCAGGCUAAAACCACCCAAUGAUCUCAACUUAACACCAUACUGGUCAGAGGAUAAUGCUAGCUCAGAUGGAAAGGAGAUCAGAAACUGAAGGAGGUAGAUAAUGCUAGGUAGCAUUAGGAGAAAGAGAAGAAGUAAGGCAGGCCUGGCAUAAAGACCAGGCCUUAGUGAGAAAGAUAGAGAAGAGAGAGAGAGAGACAGGCAGGGGAGAAGAUGCCCCUUGCCAAACCUGGGAAUGCUCUUCAAGUGGGGGGAGCUUACUGGGGCUCGUUUAUUUAUAGUCUUGACAGCUCAAUACAUAUUGAACAGUUAUAUGAUACCUCAAUACAUAUGGAUGAGUUACCUGGGGUAUUCCCAUUGGAUAAUGCAACUUAUGACAAGGUGAAGGUGGGGUUAUUAUCCCCGGGAGAGUGAGACAAAGGAAAGCCAGGUUUCGCGCCUAAACUUCAGCCACGCUGGCAAUAAAAUUUAUUGCCAUGCACA
Molecule: long non-coding RNA, 2783 nt
Filed under: Monodelphis domestica (gray short-tailed opossum)
Lineage: Eukaryota; Metazoa; Chordata; Mammalia; Didelphimorphia; Didelphidae
Description: lncRNA (ENSMODG00000051383.1)
Source: RNAcentral